Tupaia belangeri chinensis (Chinese tree shrew) is the source of this 1580-nucleotide long non-coding RNA. RefSeq lists it as uncharacterized. Lineage: Eukaryota; Metazoa; Chordata; Mammalia; Scandentia; Tupaiidae. The transcript is spliced from 3 exons. The record is from RefSeq and is a predicted model, not a curated record.
AUACAAAACCGACUGCAACAGCAAAGGACAUCCCAAGGGAAACCUGAUGUUUAGACGUGGAGAUGCACAGAAUGGCGAAGCAGGAAGGGGCACUAAAAAGCAUCUGAUUCUCUCUCUUCCCCUCACUUCCUGGUGGAGGUGCUUCAUAAACUAAUACCCUUCCCUCCAAGAAUGCUGUGCAGAAUAACUAGCUAAUAAUAAGUGACUGCCUGGCAGCGAUGUCAUAGUUUGUGAGGGUGGAGGAAAACAUAAUUACAUCACUCACAGCCCUGCCAGCCCCAGUGCCAGCCCUGUACCUUCUGGGCAGCUCUGGAUCCAUUCCAUUAUUGAACUCUUUCUGCACUUAUCACUUUUUGCCUUAUUUUUCUAAUCUUUGUGAGUUUUAUUCUCAGUACAUUUAAGUCUAUCUCCAGGAUUUCUGGCUUUAUUAAUGUUUAGAGAAUAGGUAUAUUCUUUUGUUACGUAUUUGCCUGGCAAUUACUUCGUUAAUAGUGAUUAUUCUCAAUUCCGAAGAAUUGUAACAGGAGAACGGUAAGUCCUCAGUGCUGCUUUGAAUGAUAACAUUUAUCAAAUCCAAGUAAAAUGUUAGGAAUCACAGUACCUAUUCACUGAUAGAAAAUGCCCAGAAAUUUCUCAAAUUCCUAAACAGCAUCCCUCAUACUCUUUUUAUAGUCCCAUCGACUCAGUGAAACAAAGCAAAAAAUGUGGUUUAAAAUUCUUACAAUGAAAGCUCAGAAACACAUGAAAUGCAAGCACAGUCAUAGGCAUAUAUGUGUAUCUGUGUGCAUGCUCACAUGUAUCCAUGCGUACAUUUGUUUAGCCAAAGUUUUCUAAUUUUUCUAUUAACAUGGAAUAAAUUCGUGUGCUUGGCAUAUGGGUAACUGACUUGUUUGAAAGUUAACACAAUCAUGUGCUGAUCUUCAAACUUUGUCAAUCUCGAGAACUUAAAACCUCACGCGAACCUGGACUUGCUGAUGUGGGUUAUUUAUUAAGAGGUGCUUCUUCCUUCCCACCUGUGUUUUGUAAAUCCAGUCAUGUUUAAGUAUGCGAGGGGAUAGGUAACACCGCGAUUCACUUGGAAAGGGAAUAAUAUAUUUCCCAACCCAGAUAAGAAGAUUCUGCUGUUCAAGCAAAUGCAAAUGCGUGAUGAACACACCUGCUAAAGGACUACAGCCACUGUCUUAGCCCAUGAUGGUCACACCUGCGGAGAACGGAGGGCAAAGAAUAUCUGGUCCUGUGCUGGCUUUGAGCUUCAGGAUGCAGGGAUCUGGGCAAAGGGAGUGACGAGAAGGCUACAGCAAUCCAUUCAGACGUGGGCCCCCAUGCUUUGUGGAACAACCUCGGAACAGUCUUUUUCAGCCAGCCAGGAUCAUGAGCAUGCAUGGUGUGCACAAGUCAGCGUGGGAACUGCACCCCAACCUUCUACAUGAUUUCCAGCACUGCAGAGCACUGGCCACCACUCUGUCACUGCAGGGAGCCUGAGACAUAAAGAUACAAAUCCUCAUUCACAGUUAAGGAAAGUGACACAGGAAGACACAGAAAAAAAAAAAGUAUGCCAUUAGCAUAGUUUUAGUUCUGAA